AUUCUGGCUCAGGAUGAACGCUGGCGGCGUGCUUAACACAUGCAAGUCGAACGGGAUCCAGGCAGCUUGCUGCCUGGUGAGAGUGGCGAACGGGUGAGUAAUGCGUGACCGACCUGCCCCAUACACCGGAAUAGCUCCUGGAAACGGGUGGUAAUGCCGGAUGCUCCGACUCCUCGCAUGGGGUGUCGGGAAAGAUUUCAUCGGUAUGGGAUGGGGUCGCGUCCUAUCAGGUAGUCGGCGGGGUAACGGCCCACCGAGCCUACGACGGGUAGCCGGCCUGAGAGGGCGACCGGCCACAUUGGGACUGAGAUACGGCCCAGACUCCUACGGGAGGCAGCAGUGGGGAAUAUUGCACAAUGGGCGCAAGCCUGAUGCAGCGACGCCGCGUGCGGGAUGACGGCCUUCGGGUUGUAAACCGCUUUUGAUCGGGAGCAAGCCUUCGGGUGAGUGUACCUUUCGAAUAAGCACCGGCUAACUACGUGCCAGCAGCCGCGGUAAUACGUAGGGUGCAAGCGUUAUCCGGAAUUAUUGGGCGUAAAGGGCUCGUAGGCGGUUCGUCGCGUCCGGUGUGAAAGUCCAUCGCUUAACGGUGGAUCUGCGCCGGGUACGGGCGGGCUGGAGUGCGGUAGGGGAGACUGGAAUUCCCGGUGUAACGGUGGAAUGUGUAGAUAUCGGGAAGAACACCAAUGGCGAAGGCAGGUCUCUGGGCCGUUACUGACGCUGAGGAGCGAAAGCGUGGGGAGCGAACAGGAUUAGAUACCCUGGUAGUCCACGCCGUAAACGGUGGAUGCUGGAUGUGGGGCCCGUUCCACGGGUUCCGUGUCGGAGCUAACGCGUUAAGCAUCCCGCCUGGGGAGUACGGCCGCAAGGCUAAAACUCAAAGAAAUUGACGGGGGCCCGCACAAGCGGCGGAGCAUGCGGAUUAAUUCGAUGCAACGCGAAGAACCUUACCUGGGCUUGACAUGUUCCCGACAGCCCCAGAGAUGGGGCCUCCCUUCGGGGCGGGUUCACAGGUGGUGCAUGGUCGUCGUCAGCUCGUGUCGUGAGAUGUUGGGUUAAGUCCCGCAACGAGCGCAACCCUCGCCCUGUGUUGCCAGCACGUCAUGGUGGGAACUCACGGGGGACCGCCGGGGUCAACUCGGAGGAAGGUGGGGAUGACGUCAGAUCAUCAUGCCCCUUACGUCCAGGGCUUCACGCAUGCUACAAUGGCCGGUACAACGGGAUGCGACACGGCGACGUGGAGCGGAUCCCUGAAAACCGGUCUCAGUUCGGAUUGGAGUCUGCAACCCGACUCCAUGAAGGCGGAGUCGCUAGUAAUCGCGGAUCAGCAACGCCGCGGUGAAUGCGUUCCCGGGCCUUGUACACACCGCCCGUCAAGUCAUGAAAGUGGGUAGCACCCGAAGCCGGUGGCCUAACCCUUUGUGGAUGGAGCCGUCUAAGGUGAGACUCGUGAUUGGGACUAAGUCGUAACAAGGUAGCCGUACCGGAAGGUGCGGCUG
RNAcentral lists this ribosomal RNA (1499 nucleotides) under gut metagenome. RNAcentral describes it as "bacterial SSU rRNA". It matches the Rfam family "Bacterial small subunit ribosomal RNA". The record is from RNAcentral.